UUCUCCACCGGUACCAAAGCGGGAUUUCAUUUUCCGCCCGUUGGGGACGGAACCGGGUAGGUGAACAACCGGUACCUAAGGCUGUCCUAUGGUACCGGGUAGAUCUAAAACUGGUGCCUAAGGGUGCUUUAGGUACUGGGUGACUUUUCUAGCCGGUAUCAAAGUCCCUGAACAUAAAACCAAACCCUUGUCCUUCUUCCUCCUCUAGUCCCCUGAUUUUCGAUCGUCGUGAGUGCCGCUGCCGCAUCAUCUUGCCCCGCCGCCGUUCGCGUCUUUUCCGCGCCUGCUUCGGUCUCCUCCGCCCGCACCCGUGGCCCUUGCCUCCUCCGUGCCCUCACCCGCGCCUCGGCGUCGUCGUCGUCUCCGGUCACCUUUGCGCGCCCGCACUGCCUGAAGGAGGGCCUCCACACGCCUGCGCCUUCAUCGUCCCCGCCGGUGCCCGCGCGUGCAUCGGGCCGACGCCCUCGUCCCCCGCCGCCCGCGCGUGCAUCGGGCCGACGCCCUCGUCCCCCGCCGCCCGCGCGUGCAUCGGGUCGACGCCCUCGUCCCCCGCCGCCCGCGCUUGCAUCGGGCCGACGCCGAUGACCCCGAGCGCGGCACCUCUUCUCCUCACCGACUCCGGCUGGCUCCAACGCGCCACACGCCGUGCGGCCCCGACGCGCCGCAUCUCGCUGACCCCCACGCGCCGCUGCGCUGACGUAAAGCCGCCGCGUCGACAUGUCGCAAAUCUACAACGCCGCUUUCGAUGUUGAUCGGAUUAACACCGUGUGCGAUCAGCUCGCGGGAUUCAUUCUCAGGGAGAUCAGAGGCAACUGCCCGUAUCGACGUCGUGAGGGUCCUACUAUAAACAUGACUUGUAUAUUUGUAAAUAUAUUGUUAUUGCUAUAACAUAAUUAUAUGUUUGCCUUUAACUUUUAGUUAAUUUCGAAUAGUCUUUGAAUUUGAAACAUGACCAAUGGACGUAUAGUACUGUAGAGCUCGAUCGGGUACGCAUAGCAAUUCUCAAAUAAUAAACAAAACAAAUAAAAAUGAGGAAAACUCUUUGGUACCGGUUGAUUUUUCCAACCGGUACCAAAGGGAAACAUUUUGGUACCGGUUGGAAAUACCGACCGGUACCAAAGAGGCUGCGUCCAGCCUCUUUGGUACCGGUCGGUAUUUCCAACCGGUACCGAUGGUGACCAAAGGCACCGGUUGAAAUACCUGGUGCCGAAGAUCGAGGUCAAAGGUUCCGGUUUCGGGGUACCGGUUCGAAAACCGGUACCUAAAGCCUUUCCUAAUCGGUACCUAUGGCCUCUUUUCUAGUAGUGAUCACUGAAUCAUGAAUGAAAUGAAAUGCAUUUUGUAACUAUUUUCUUCACUGUUAGAUUAACUUUAGCAGUUUUUAUGCAUUUAUAGAUUGUAUCUGAUUUGCUUAAAGCAUUUGCACUAACAUGAAGAAUCUUCCUUUUCCAGAAACCAAAGUGAAAUAGACAGGCCUUGGUGGAAGAUGGCAUCUUCUUGCGCUGAUGAUAAUGACCAAAGUGAAGUAGACAGGCUUUGGUGGAAGAUGGCAUCUUCUUGCGCUGAUGAUCAUCCUUUCCCUUUACAAAUAUCCGCACUUAUCAUUUUAGUGGGGUGCAGUACACUGGGACAUAUUCUAGGAGGUAGUGGUAUGCAUGCACUCAAGUCUGAACUCUGAAUCCGGCCGGGUGGCAAUGGAAGGAAAAUAAAUCUCACUAGCUCUGUCAUAUGCAACGGAAUCAGUGAUCUUACUACACCAAUCUGUCCCUGCCUUCUAAGUUCCAAAGUGUAAGAACCUGAAGCAAACUUCAGAGCUGUAGUUUUGUUCCCUCAAAAAUUCUAAAAACAGACUCUAAUAGUUGGAGUACUCGCACGGAACCUGAACCUCUGAAGACGACCUUCCAUGUGUUGCAGGAUCAUGGUUGGUUUUUGGGUUCAGUGCUGUGUGGUACCAUAACCUUUUCACUUGUUAAGCAACAGACUCCUUGACUCGCACCAACCAACCAAGGGCUCACAGGUGUAAAAGCAAAUGUAUUGCAUUGCUUGAAUAAUGAAAGAGACAGGAGGGAAGUGUGCAAAUGACCCAAGAAAUACAAGGGGAGCAUAUCAAAAGUUUGCCCGGGUGCAUUGGAAUUGUGCUUCCAAAUUGAAGCACUUUAGGGAUAAGAGGAUAAAAGUUCGUUUGGUAGGCUGGCACGGCCAUUUCCUUUGUUGAUUUAUUUAUGCGUAAUGCCUUUUUCUUUCAUCCUUGCACCAACAAAAGGAAUCUCUUUUUCUCAAAGCAAUAAUGAUGGCAGCUUGUUUAAUUAAGAGUGGGAUGACCUGCUAAGAAGAAUUUGAUCGAGCACGCAUGGGUCAUCUGCGUUGUCCUGCUGUUUCCGUCUUGCCACUGUAGCAAAUCACGAUGUCGCUGCAGGGAUGAUAGAAAUAAAAAUGAAAUAAAGUUCAUUUUGUAGCUAUUUUAUUUACCGUGAGAUGGACUUUAGCAGUGUUUAUGUACUAUUUAGAUAUCAUAUCUGAUUUUCUUAAAGCAUUUGCAGUAACAAGACGAAUCUUCUUUUUCCUUGUA
Molecule: long non-coding RNA, 2569 nt
Organism: Panicum virgatum (switchgrass)
Lineage: Eukaryota; Viridiplantae; Streptophyta; Magnoliopsida; Poales; Poaceae
Exons: 2
Source: RefSeq, a predicted model, not a curated record